RNAcentral lists this ribosomal RNA (280 nucleotides) under uncultured Ascomycota. RNAcentral's name for it is "partial 18S ribosomal RNA". It matches the Rfam family "Eukaryotic small subunit ribosomal RNA", at positions 548 to 835 of the family's 1831-position model. Lineage: Eukaryota; Fungi; Ascomycota. The record is from RNAcentral.
UUGGAGGGCAAGUCUGGUGCCAGCAGCCGCGGUAAUUCCAGCUCCAAUAGCGUAUAUUAAAGUUGUUGCAGUUAAAAAGCUCGUAGUUGAACUUUGGGUCUGGCUGGCCGGUCCGCCUCACCGCGAGUACUGGUCCGGCUGGACCUUUCCUUCUGGGGAACCUCAUGGCCUUCACUGGCUGUGGGGGGAACCAGGACUUUUACUGUGAAAAAAUUAGAGUGUUCAAAGCAGGCCUUUGCUCGAAUACAUUAGCAUGGAAUAAUAAAAUAGGACGUGUCGG